RNAcentral lists this ribosomal RNA (2905 nucleotides) under Escherichia coli. RNAcentral's name for it is "23S ribosomal RNA". It matches the Rfam family "Bacterial large subunit ribosomal RNA". Lineage: Bacteria; Pseudomonadati; Pseudomonadota; Gammaproteobacteria; Enterobacterales; Enterobacteriaceae. The record is from RNAcentral. RNAcentral also lists the same sequence under 1 other name.
GGUUAAGCGACUAAGCGUACACGGUGGAUGCCCUGGCAGUCAGAGGCGAUGAAGGACGUGCUAAUCUGCGAUAAGCGUCGGUAAGGUGAUAUGAACCGUUAUAACCGGCGAUUUCCGAAUGGGGAAACCCAGUGUGAUUUGUCACACUAUCAUUAACUGAAUCCAUAGGUUAAUGAGGCGAACCGGGGGAACUGAAACAUCUAAGUACCCCGAGGAAAAGAAAUCAACCGAGAUUCCCCCAGUAGCGGCGAGCGAACGGGGAGGAGCCCAGAGCCUGAAUCAGUGUGUGUGUUAGUGGAAGCGUCUGGAAAGGCGCGCGAUACAGGGUGACAGCCCCGUACACAAAAAUGCACAUGCUGUGAGCUCGAUGAGUAGGGCGGGACACGUGGUAUCCUGUCUGAAUAUGGGGGAACCAUCCUCCAAGGCUAAAUACUCCUGACUGACCGAUAGUGAACCAGUACCGUGAGGGAAAGGCGAAAAGAACCCCGGCGAGGGGAGUGAAAAAGAACCUGAAACCGUGUACGUACAAGCAGUGGGAGCACGCUUCGGCGUGUGACUGCGUACCUUUUGUAUAAUGGGUCAGCGACUUAUAUUCUGUAGCAAGGUUAACCGAAUAGGGGAGCCGAAGGGAAACCGAGUCUUAACUGGGCGUUAAGUUGCAGGGUAUAGACCCGAAACCCGGUGAUCUAGCCAUGGGCAGGUUGAAGGUUGGGUAACACUAACUGGAGGACCGAACCGACUAAUGUUGAAAAAUUAGCGGAUGACUUGUGGCUGGGGGUGAAAGGCCAAUCAAACCGGGAGAUAGCUGGUUCUCCCCGAAAGCUAUUUAGGUAGCGCCUCGUGAAUUCAUCUCCGGGGGUAGAGCACUGUUUCGGCAAGGGGGUCAUCCCGACUUACCAACCCGAUGCAAACUGCGAAUACCGGAGAAUGUUAUCACGGGAGACACACGGCGGGUGCUAACGUCCGUCGUGAAGAGGGAAACAACCCAGACCGCCAGCUAAGGUCCCAAAGUCAUGGUUAAGUGGGAAACGAUGUGGGAAGGCCCAGACAGCCAGGAUGUUGGCUUAGAAGCAGCCAUCAUUUAAAGAAAGCGUAAUAGCUCACUGGUCGAGUCGGCCUGCGCGGAAGAUGUAACGGGGCUAAACCAUGCACCGAAGCUGCGGCAGCGACACUAUGUGUUGUUGGGUAGGGGAGCGUUCUGUAAGCCUGUGAAGGUGGCCUGUGAGGGUUGCUGGAGGUAUCAGAAGUGCGAAUGCUGACAUAAGUAACGAUAAAGCGGGUGAAAAGCCCGCUCGCCGGAAGACCAAGGGUUCCUGUCCAACGUUAAUCGGGGCAGGGUGAGUCGACCCCUAAGGCGAGGCCGAAAGGCGUAGUCGAUGGGAAACAGGUUAAUAUUCCUGUACUUGGUGUUACUGCGAAGGGGGGACGGAGAAGGCUAUGUUGGCCGGGCGACGGUUGUCCCGGUUUAAGCGUGUAGGCUGGUUUUCCAGGCAAAUCCGGAAAACUAAGGCUGAGGCGUGAUGACGAGGCACUACGGUGCUGAAGCAACAAAUGCCCUGCUUCCAGGAAAAGCCUCUAAGCAUCAGGUAACAUCAAAUCGUACCCCAAACCGACACAGGUGGUCAGGUAGAGAAUACCAAGGCGCUUGAGAGAACUCGGGUGAAGGAACUAGGCAAAAUGGUGCCGUAACUUCGGGAGAAGGCACGCUGAUAUGUAGGUGAAGCGACUUGCUCGUGGAGCUGAAAUCAGUCGAAGAUACCAGCUGGCUGCAACUGUUUAUUAAAAACACAGCACUGUGCAAACACGAAAGUGGACGUAUACGGUGUGACGCCUGCCCGGUGCCGGAAGGUUAAUUGAUGGGGUUAGCGGUAACGCGAAGCUCUUGAUCGAAGCCCCGGUAAACGGCGGCCGUAACUAUAACGGUCCUAAGGUAGCGAAAUUCCUUGUCGGGUAAGUUCCGACCUGCACGAAUGGCGUAAUGAUGGCCAGGCUGUCUCCACCCGAGACUCAGUGAAAUUGAACUCGCUGUGAAGAUGCAGUGUACCCGCGGCAAGACGGAAAGACCCCGUGAACCUUUACUAUAGCUUGACACUGAACAUUGAGCCUUGAUGUGUAGGAUAGGUGGGAGGCUUUGAAGUGUGGACGCCAGUCUGCAUGGAGCCGACCUUGAAAUACCACCCUUUAAUGUUUGAUGUUCUAACGUUGACCCGUGAUCCGGGUUGCGGACAGUGUCUGGUGGGUAGUUUGACUGGGGCGGUCUCCUCCUAAAGAGUAACGGAGGAGCACGAAGGUUGGCUAAUCCUGGUCGGACAUCAGGAGGUUAGUGCAAUGGCAUAAGCCAGCUUGACUGCGAGCGUGACGGCGCGAGCAGGUGCGAAAGCAGGUCAUAGUGAUCCGGUGGUUCUGAAUGGAAGGGCCAUCGCUCAACGGAUAAAAGGUACUCCGGGGAUAACAGGCUGAUACCGCCCAAGAGUUCAUAUCGACGGCGGUGUUUGGCACCUCGAUGUCGGCUCAUCACAUCCUGGGGCUGAAGUAGGUCCCAAGGGUAUGGCUGUUCGCCAUUUAAAGUGGUACGCGAGCUGGGUUUAGAACGUCGUGAGACAGUUCGGUCCCUAUCUGCCGUGGGCGCUGGAGAACUGAGGGGGGCUGCUCCUAGUACGAGAGGACCGGAGUGGACGCAUCACUGGUGUUCGGGUUGUCAUGCCAAUGGCACUGCCCGGUAGCUAAAUGCGGAAGAGAUAAGUGCUGAAAGCAUCUAAGCACGAAACUUGCCCCGAGAUGAGUUCUCCCUGACUCCCUGAGAGUCCUGAAGGAACGUUGAAGACGACGACGUUGAUAGGCCGGGUGUGUAAGCGCAGCGAUGCGUUGAGCUAACCGGUACUAAUGAACCGUGAGGCUUAACCUU